GACGCUUGGCGGCCGAGAGCGAGUGUUGCGAGACAACAAAAAGCUCGACCUCAAAUCAGGUAGGAAUACCCGCUGAACUUAAGCAUAUCAAUAAGCGGAGGAAAAGAAACCAACAGGGAUUGCCUCAGUAGCGGCGAGUGAAGCGGCAAGAGCUCAGAUUUGAAAUCGUGCUUUGCGGCACGAGUUGUAGAUUGCAGGUUGGAGUCUGUGUGGAAGGCGGUGUCCAAGUCCCUUGGAACAGGGCGCCCAGGAGGGUGAGAGCCCCGUGGGAUGCCGGCGGAAGCAGUGAGGCCCUUCUGACGAGUCGAGUUGUUUGGGAAUGCAGCUCCAAGCGGGUGGUAAAUUCCAUCUAAGGCUAAAUACUGGCGAGAGACCGAUAGCGAACAAGUACUGUGAAGGAAAGAUGAAAAGCACUUUGAAAAGAGAGUGAAACAGCACGUGAAAUUGUUGAAAGGGAAGGGUAUUGCGCCCGACAUGGGGAUUGCGCACCGCUGCCUCUCGUGGGCGGCGCUCUGGGCUUUCCCUGGGCCAGCAUCGGUUCUUGCUGCAGGAGAAGGGGUUCUGGAACGUGGCUCUUCGGAGUGUUAUAGCCAGGGCCAGAUGCUGCGUGCGGGGACCGAGGACUGCGGCCGUGUAGGUCACGGAUGCUGGCAGAACGCCAACACC
RNAcentral lists this ribosomal RNA (666 nucleotides) under Pichia kudriavzevii. RNAcentral's name for it is "LSU rRNA". It matches the Rfam family "Eukaryotic large subunit ribosomal RNA", at positions 1 to 646 of the family's 3401-position model. The record is from RNAcentral. Lineage: Eukaryota; Fungi; Ascomycota; Pichiomycetes; Pichiales; Pichiaceae.